AUCCAGCUGACGAGUCCCAGAUGGGACGAAACGCGCGUCCUGGAU
RNAcentral lists this non-coding RNA (45 nucleotides) under Schistosoma mansoni. The record is from RNAcentral. Lineage: Eukaryota; Metazoa; Platyhelminthes; Trematoda; Strigeidida; Schistosomatidae.